CCCUUAGAUGUUCUGGGCCGCACGCGCGCUACACUGACGGAUUCAACGAGCUUACAACCUUGGCCGAAAGGUCUGGGUAAUCUCCAAAAUCCGUCGUGAUGGGGAUAGAUUAUUGCAAUUAUUAAUCUUCAACGAGGAAUGCCUAGUAAGCGCAAGUCAUCAGCUUGCGUUGAUUACGUCCCUGCCCUUUGUACACACCGCCCGUCGCUCCUACCGAUUGAAUGGUCCGGUGAAGCGUUUGGACUAUGGUUUUCUGAUGGUCCGCCGUUUGAUUACCGUGGGAAGUUCGUUAAACCUUAUCAUUUAGAGGAAGGAGAAGUCGUAACA
This 327-nucleotide ribosomal RNA is filed under the name uncultured eukaryote. RNAcentral's name for it is "partial 18S ribosomal RNA". It matches the Rfam family "Eukaryotic small subunit ribosomal RNA", at positions 1470 to 1796 of the family's 1831-position model. The record is from RNAcentral.